ACUUACAAUCCUCCUGCCUCAGACUCCCAGGGCAAUGGGAUUACAGGUGUGCACCAGCACAGUCAGCUUGGUCCUACACUUUUGUGAUGAAACUGAACAGCUGAGUUCCGGGCACUUGUAUCAAGGUGAACAGAUGGUUAAAGAGCAAAGUGGACCCGCAGCCAAGCUCUGGAGACCCUGGACUGGAGACUCCCAGGGAACCACCACGUCCUCAAGGCAUGAGAUUCAUCUCCUUCUGAAAAGUCCUUCAUGACACCUUGAAAGAAUGUAGUCGUUGACCAGCUCACCAUGGCGAUUCUCUCAAACCAGGCCAACGUCUAUGACUUCUCCGACUCCAGCUCCAGUGCUAAUUCCAGGUGCAUCCAUUUUCCCACAAAUGUCUCAAAUUUAUCUUUGUCAAUACUCCCAAAACCAAUAUUUAGAUUCAAUGCAAUUCCAAUCAAAGUACAGCAGCAUUCCUCGCAGAACUAGAGAAAACAAUCGUAAAAUUCCUAUGGAAUGAGAAGAGACCUAAAUACAGCAAAAGCAAACCUGGG
Heterocephalus glaber (naked mole-rat) is the source of this 536-nucleotide non-coding RNA. The record is from RefSeq and is a predicted model, not a curated record. NCBI's taxonomy places the organism in Eukaryota, Metazoa, Chordata, Mammalia, Rodentia, Bathyergidae.